This 253-nucleotide ribosomal RNA is filed under the name uncultured bacterium. RNAcentral's name for it is "partial 16S ribosomal RNA". It matches the Rfam family "Bacterial small subunit ribosomal RNA", at positions 524 to 776 of the family's 1533-position model. The record is from RNAcentral.
UACGUAGGGUGCAAGCGUUAAUCGGAAUUACUGGGCGUAAAGCGUGCGCAGGCGGCUUUGUAAGCCAGAUGUGAAAUCCCCGGGCUUAACCUGGGAAUGGCAUUUGGGACUGCAAGGCUGGAGUGUGGCAGAGGAGACUGGAAUUCCUGGUGUAGCAGUGAAAUUCGUAGAUAUUAGGAAGAACACCGGUGGCGAAGGCGGCCCACUGGCUCGAUACUGACGCUGAGGUGCGAAAGCGUGGGGAGCAAACAGG